Camelus ferus (Wild Bactrian camel) is the source of this 72-nucleotide transfer RNA. It matches the Rfam family "tRNA". From Rfam's summary of the family: Transfer RNA (tRNA) molecules are approximately 80 nucleotides in length. Their secondary structure includes four short double-helical elements and three loops (D, anti-codon, and T loops). Lineage: Eukaryota; Metazoa; Chordata; Mammalia; Artiodactyla; Camelidae. The record is from Rfam.
GAGGGUCUAGCUCAGCGGUAGAGCGCGUGCUUUCCACGCACGAGGUCCCGGGUUCAAUCCCCAGCACCUCCA